UAUACUCAUACUCAAUUGUCUCUUCUUAUUUUAUUAAUCCCAUUAAAGAAAUACAAUAACAAAAAUUUAUAGCAUAAAAAUAAAUAUAUAACUUGACGAGACAUACAUACCCGAAGGGUUUAAGGUAAUUAUUUAGCUAUGUAUUAUAUAUGACAUUUAUAAACAUACUUUCACACUCAUUCUAUAAUAUAGAUCGAUAUAUACUCUUUCUUUCAAUCCUAAAAUAAAAAAAAAAAAAUUAAUUAAUAAAAGUGAAUAUAUUUAAUUCAAAUUUUAAACGAAUAUAUUUAAAAAAUUUAACACAUUCUUACUUAUAUUAUACGACGGAAGAAAGUAUAUCAAUAAGACACAGAAGCCAUGGCCACGAUCAAUAAUAUAUCAUGAAAGAGUUUAUGGUUUACGUGCCAUUAUAAGUGUGCACAAUAGAGUGACCACACGAGACAAAAGUUAGGAUUAAUACUAGUAGGAUUAAGGACACACUUCUUAAACCAUAUAUAACAUAAUUCCAUAGCAUCAACCGCUAUUAAUAUUCCAGUGUCACUAUAGGCGCGAGCGCGAUUGAUCAUAAUUGCCAUAACAAAGAGAACUAAAACAAGUGAAGUAGAGAUGAAUUUUGCCAUAGUGUAAAGUAUCAAUAUGAUUAUACUCUUUUACACUUCUUUUUAUUUUUCCUUUUCUUUUUUCUGUUUGCAUGUAUUGAAAU
This 703-nucleotide long non-coding RNA is filed under the name Trifolium pratense (red clover). RNAcentral's name for it is "long non-coding RNA (TPRA_LNC001866)". The record is from RNAcentral. Lineage: Eukaryota; Viridiplantae; Streptophyta; Magnoliopsida; Fabales; Fabaceae.